RNAcentral lists this ribosomal RNA (468 nucleotides) under uncultured bacterium. RNAcentral's name for it is "partial 16S ribosomal RNA". It matches the Rfam family "Bacterial small subunit ribosomal RNA", at positions 28 to 507 of the family's 1533-position model. The record is from RNAcentral.
GACGAACGCUGGCGGCGUGCUUAACACAUGCAAGUCGAACGGAAAGGCCCUGCUUUUGUGGGGUGCUCGAGUGGCGAACGGGUGCGUAACACGUGAGUAACCUGCCCUUGACUUUGGGAUAACUUCAGGAAACUAGGGCUAAUACCGGAUCGGAGCUCCUGCUGCAUGGUGGGGGUUGGAAAGUUGCGGCGGUAGGGGAUGGACUCGCGGCUUACCGGCUUGUUGGUGGGGUAGGGGCUUACCAAGGCUUUGACGGGUAGCCGGCCUGGGAGGGUGACCGGGGUCAAUGGUACUGAGGGACGCCCCAGUCUCCUACGUGGGUCAGCGGUCGGGAGUAUGACGCAGUGAGCGGGCGUGUGUGACGGAAACGUUGCGUGCGGGAUGACGGCCUUCUGGGUAUAAACCGCUGUCGCCUGAGACGAAGCUGGAGUGACGGUAAUUAAUAAAGAAGCACCGGCUAACUACGUG